Lingula anatina is the source of this 519-nucleotide long non-coding RNA. NCBI's taxonomy places the organism in Eukaryota, Metazoa, Brachiopoda, Lingulata, Lingulida, Lingulidae. The record is from RefSeq and is a predicted model, not a curated record.
CUCUCCCCCUGGCCCAGGUGUUGACGCUAGGGGCGCUGGUGGCGGUGGUACAGACGGUGGCGCCAUUGCGGCAAUUGUCAUCGUUGUCCUCCUCGUCCUUCUUGUUGUUCUCGUGAUUGGGGUUUUAUGGUGGAGGAAAAGAGAGCUCUUGCUCAGUAUCUGGAACCGAGUCACCAAGAAGCGUUCAGCAGACACGCAGGCAAACGACCACGGCUUUACCAAUGAAGGUUCGGUUUACAACCCUAACCACAUAGAAUCCAGUCGGGCCAAAACUCUGGUUAAAAACAACUCCCUGUACAAGCCGAGCGACGGCAACGCCUACUACAACCCUCACGACGAAUACGACGACCCACUGUACGCGACCUUAGACCCUCCCGACGAGUACGCUUACGACCACAUUGUCAAUACCAGUGAUGAGACGCCACAAAACCCGCGCGAGAAAGAGGAAAGUUCCGCGGUGGAAGACGGUAACGUAUACUACAGCCCAGUGGCGGAGGAGGGACAAUAUGAGGGAAGUGC